AUUGAACGCUGGCGGCAGGCCUAACACAUGCAAGUCGAACGAGUGGCGGACGGGUGAGUAAUGUCUGGGAAACUGCCCGAUGGAGGGGGAUAACUACUGGAAACGGUAGCUAAUACCGCAUACCAUCGGAUGUGCCCAGAUGGGAUUAGCUAGUAGGUGGGGUAACGGGUCACCUAGGCGACGAUCCCUAGCUGGUCUGAGAGGAUGACCCGCCAAACUGGAACUGAGGCACGGUCCAGACUCCUUAGGGAGGCAGGAGUGGGGAAUUUUGCACAAUGGGCGGAAGCCCGCUGGAGCCCUGCCGGGUGUAUGAAGGAGGCCUUUGGGUUGUAAAGGACUUUCAGCGAGGAGGAGUUACCCGCAGAAGAAGCACCCGCUAACUCCGUGGCAGCAGCCGCGGGUAUAC
Molecule: ribosomal RNA, 406 nt
Filed under: uncultured bacterium
Lineage: Bacteria
Description: partial 16S ribosomal RNA
Rfam family: Bacterial small subunit ribosomal RNA
Source: RNAcentral